This is a non-coding RNA of Nelumbo nucifera (sacred lotus), 1621 nucleotides long. NCBI's taxonomy places the organism in Eukaryota, Viridiplantae, Streptophyta, Magnoliopsida, Proteales, Nelumbonaceae. The record is from RefSeq and is a predicted model, not a curated record.
UUUUAGAUAAAAAAGAAAGAACCAUCUUUUUUGAAGGGGGGAUUCUCUCACAUUCAGUCUUCUCUCCUCAAAGGCUAGAACCAUCGCACUCAAGCUCCCAUCUCUCUCCCUCUCGCCCAACGACCGAACCUAUCCAUUUUCUUCCUCCUCUUCUCUCCAACCUCCGGGAACCCUAGAAAAAACCAUCCCUCUCACUACUACCUUCCCCAAAAUCCAACAAAACUCUCCUCCCUCUUCUCCAAUGCCAUUGAACCACCAUUAACCUUCAACCAUUUUCCUUCCAUCCUAUCCCUCAACAAAAAAAGAGAGAAAAUGAACAAAAAAAUCUGCACACAUCUCAGUUCAGCUAUGUGAUGGAGGAGGAGAAGACACAAGAAGAAGGAAGAGAGAAGAAGGAUAAAGUGAAGAAAAAGAAGAGAGCCUCCAUCCUCUCGGCCAGGUAAGAGGUUAGACCUCAACACCCAAGCAGCUCCAUUUUCUUCCUCUCUCAAUCUCACCUUCCCCAGAAACGUGAAACCCUAGCCUCCAUUCCUACAGCCGAGUCGUUACCUUCACCACUUCCUUCCUUUCCCCUCCACUCCAAGAAAGACCGAAAACCUAAGCCCCCAUACCCUCUUCUCCUUCCUCCAUUAGAGACCUGCCUAAACCCUAACCUCACUUUUCCAUUCAGUUGGAGAGAUCUCGAACCUCACCCAAAAAAAAAACUAAAAUCCAAGCCACUCUUCAUUCGGCUUGUAAAGGAGAAGGAAAAGGGGAAGAAGCAAGAAGAGUUCAAAGGAAGCUCAAGUCAAACUACCCAUUUGCAGUUCAAACAAGGCACAACCCGAGGAAGGAUUGUUAACAUUUCAAUAUCCUCCACUCUACAAGGUGUUUGAUCAAAGGCUACAUAGAGUUGGAUCAUGGAUGGUGUAGAUUUGAUGUCCUCGUCCAUUGGCGGCCUUUUUGUUUGCACUGCAAUGAAGAAAGGCACCCAUUACCAACAUUCAAGAGUAGAGGACCAAGAGAAUUGCAGUUGGUCCCAACCACCAAGCAAGGAAAGCCUUUUGAUUUCAUUUUGAUAAGGGGCCAUCAAACAAAACAGCUAUACAAAGGGCUUAACAAUGGGAAUUAUAUAUGUUGAUCCAGAAUGCAAGCUUCUGCUGAUGGGACUGAUUCUCUUUUCCACGCCCAUCUUCCAGAAAAGCUGAAAAUGAAUGAGUUCUCCUCGAGAGUUGUUUCUCAAUUGUGGAACGAAUAGCACAAUGCCCUGUUCGAUUGGGAAUGGGCUCAGAAGCCAAUUGAGUUGAAGCCGAAGAAUUGACAAGGACAGAGGGUAAAAUCCUUGCAAUGGAGGUCGCCAAACUGCAUUCAGCUUGAGAGGAAGCCUUGACUUGUUCCUGUUUGGAAUUGCGACAUGGGUAUGGCUCACAGAGUUCCUUCAGACUCUCAGUAUUCUUCUUGGAGGAUGAUAUGUAGACAGCUUCCUGAUAGAGGCCUUGUCUGAAAUUCAAAACCUGCUCUUCAAGCCGAACAACCUCCUCUUCCAAAACAGCCACCUCGGCAAGAAGCUCCAAUGUCUGCAAUAGAGAAAACCAAAAGGCCAUGUAGAGACACACAGAUAAUAAAUAUUGGGUUAUUCUCA